ACCUGUGCAUCUGAGGACUGCCUGCCUGUGAGGUUCUCUCUCAGAGGCUGGACUGAGAGGAUUCAGCUAGCCAACUGUGCUACCAUGGGUUUGACAUUUCUGAUGACAGCCGACCUGAGAGACGGAGACCAGACCUCUGGACCAGAGCAAAGAGUGUGCUGGGUAAAAUGUGGAGUAAAGAGGCGACAUAAAAAGAUAAAUAGAAAAGUGAGACUAGAGGCAAUCACCUCUUCCGUCUGGUUGCCAGCCCUGUCCUGCCCAGCAGCUUUGUCCAGCCAUGUGAAUGUGUGUUUGGUAAGUGUGUGUCCUUGUGUAUUGACUGCUUUCAAGAAGCAGUCAGGCCACAGUCAAGCCAUAUCCCUCAAAUACUAUACAGGAUGUUCUUGAUGUACUUACUGCUAUUCUCAUAUUUCUUACUUGUAAUAAUUUACCAUUUAUUGUAACUGAUGCCAUAUCCCAGUAAAAUGUUCACACACAGUGUAGUUGUUUU
Molecule: long non-coding RNA, 490 nt
Organism: Lates calcarifer (barramundi perch)
Lineage: Eukaryota; Metazoa; Chordata; Actinopteri; Centropomidae
Exons: 3
Source: RefSeq, a predicted model, not a curated record